This 684-nucleotide ribosomal RNA is filed under the name uncultured bacterium. RNAcentral describes it as "bacterial SSU rRNA". It matches the Rfam family "Bacterial small subunit ribosomal RNA", at positions 8 to 701 of the family's 1533-position model. The record is from RNAcentral.
AGGGUUUGAUCAUGGCUCAGAAUGAACGUUGGCGGCGUGGAUUAGGCAUGCAAGUCGAGCGAGAAACUCUUUUACGAUUUCUUCGGAAUGAAUAGUUGAGUAGACAGCGGCGCAAGGGAGAGUAACGCGUGGAAGUUUACCCUGAGGAGAGGGAUAGCUGCGGGAAACUGCAAGUAAUACCUCAUAAUGUCUCCGGACCAAAUGAAUUUCGCCUCAGGAGAACUCCGCGUCCUACUAGCUUGUUGGUGGUGUAACGGACUACCAAGGCUAUGAUGGGUAGCGGGUGUGAGAGCAUGACCCGUCUCACUGGGACUGAGACACUGCCCAGACACCUACGGGUGGCUGCAGUCGAGAAUCUUCGGCAAUGGGCGAAAGCCUGACCGAGCGACGCCGCGUGCGGGAUGAAGGCCUUCGGGUUGUAAACCGCUGUCAGAGGGGAGGAAAGCUUCGGCUUGACUGAACCUCAGAGGAAGCACGGGCUAAGUUCGUGCCAGCAGCCGCGGUAACACGAACCGUGCGAACGUUAUUCGGAAUCACUGGGCUUAAAGGGUGCGUAGGCGGCUUUGCAAGUGAGGUGUGAAAUCCCUCAGCUCAACUGAGGAACUGCGCUUCAAACUGCAUAGCUAGAGGGAGACAGAGGUAAGCGGAACUGAUGGUGGAGCGGUGAAAUGCGUUGAUAUCAUC